Long non-coding RNA from Olea europaea var. sylvestris, 3256 nucleotides. RefSeq lists it as uncharacterized. The record is from RefSeq and is a predicted model, not a curated record. The transcript is spliced from 4 exons. NCBI's taxonomy places the organism in Eukaryota, Viridiplantae, Streptophyta, Magnoliopsida, Lamiales, Oleaceae.
GGUAGUUCUUCUACCACUUCAUCCUUCUUUUCAUCUAUUAGAAUGAAAUUGAGCAUCCUUUUCUACAAAUGUGAUUCCAAUGUACUUUUCACCACAUAUAUAGCAUAAUCCCAACUUUCUUUUUGCCUGAAAGUCUGAGGGUAUAAUAUCUUUGAAUUUAAAGGGAUUAGUGGGGUUUUUUUGUUCAUUGUAGGGUGUGGAUUUAGGAGUGGGUUUGUUUGGUUUAGAGGUUGGGUUGGUCCAUUUAUUUGUUGAGUAAGGUUUGAAAGUUUUAGAGCAUCUCCUAACGACUGUGAUCGUAUUCUCUUGUAGAAUGGCAAUUUCGAAGGCUUUGGUUAGAGUUUGGGGUUGAAUUAUUUUACCCAUUGAUUUGAUCUCUUCUUUCAGGCCACUAGUGAAGACAGAAACAUAGUAGGACUCCGACAAGUGCAGCAAGGAAAUAAUCACUUGGGAUUUCAAUUCUUCACACUACUGGUAUUCAAUCAUAAAUCCUUUCUGCCUUAGCUUACUGAAGACUUCUAUUACUUCCUAUACUGUGUUCUCAGCAAACCUCCUACAAAUUCUCUCGAGAACAUGUCCCAAUCAGCAUGGGGAUGGCUGGAAAAAAAUCCAUGGAACCAUAUGUUAGCCUUCCCCUGCAGGUACAAUUAAGCAAUUCUUAGCCUCAUCCCAUCUUCUAUUUGAUGAAUCUGAAAGUAUUUCUUCACCUUUCGCAAUCACUCCCUGGGUCUAUCUUUUCCAAAAUAAGGGAAAACUAUUUUGGGUAAUUGGAAUACAUUUUAAACUCUCUACUUCCAUUGGAAUUACUUGAAUGGUACUUACUCCCACAAUUUUUAUCACUACUGAUUUGAAAUGGCACUGCACUUCCUUCGAUUUGUUUUUCCUUAAGAUCAAUUUUACCCUAUUCAUCUGAGCUAACAUUAUUAUAAUAGAUUCAUACUUUUGGUUCAUUUCACCGAUCAUUUCCUCCAAUCUAUCAUGCUUGGUGCUCAACACUUUUAGCAUUUGACCUAAGGAUUUAAGUGCUACCCUCAGAUUUGUGACCUCCUUGUCCAACCACUUCAGAUGAUCUUCAUUUGACUUGCUUUGAGUCUCAGCCAUCCCUGUUCACAUAGUUGCUUUGAUACCAAACUGUAACACCCCAAAUUUUUAUAAACACUAAAGUGAUAAAUUUUGAAUUUUUAAAAUGAAUCAUUUUUCGCCUCUCUCUUUAGUUCAUCUAGUGGAAGAUUCAAAGCGACUAGACCUUUAGCAAUAUAAAGGGCAUCGAUGUACCAGUCUCUUUUCUGACCUCUUAUAUUGAGAUCAAUGUACUCUUGUGAAAGAGAGCCUCUUUAGGUCCAUGCAAGACAUACCCAACUAUCUAACUUGUCCUUCCCUUAGUUUGUCAAAACCGGAGUAGUUUCCAUUCGUUGGUAUAGAUUCAAUAUAAAGGGCAUCGAUGUACCAGUCUCUUUUCUGACCUCUUAUAUUGAGAUCAAUGUACUCUUGUGAAAGAGAGCCUCUUUAGGUCCAUGCAAGACAUACCCAACUAUCUAACUUGUCCUUCCCUUAGUUUGUCAAAACCGGAGUAGUUUCCAUUCGUUGGUAUAGAUUCUUAUUUCUUAUGUUACCAUCCUAGCAAAACUAUAUAUCCAUUUCACUAUACUCAUUUCAACUUAUAGAUAUUUAUCCUUUAAGAUUCCAAUGCUAAGAACCAUAAAUUAUUAACAAUAUAGGGGUACUCUUAUUGCACAAAAUUCAUGUAACACUUUUUAUCUUUCCAAAAGUCACUUAGUCCUAAGAAAAGGAUUUUAGACCUCUCUCUUAAGAAGCUUUGACCCUACUCAUAUAUAAAUUCACGGAGCACUAACUACUUAGUCAUUAUUCAUGUUGUAAAUUCUUAUGUGUCAAAAAUAUACUUUACCAUCAAGCAUCUCUUCUGAGGUUUUAGGGGAUUUCAGGUUCAGUAAAUUUAAUAGAAUUAUAAUAUGUAGGAAAAAAAAUAAUUUUUUAGAAUAAUAUUUGAAUAAAAAAGAUUGUUAUCCAAAAUCGGGAAUUAUAAUUGUUACAACCCAAUUUUUCUUAGUCAAAAAUUAAAAAUUGACUAGUCAAUUAAGGACUAAAAUUAAAUAACAUUGGCAAUAUAUGAGGGUUAAAUUGGAUAUAAUUUAAAUUUGGAAUUUACUUUUAUAUUAAGGGAAGCUAGAAGGAUUAAAUGUUAUAUUAAAAUGGAGUUGAGGGACUUCCCUUACAAUUUUUAGUAAGUGGGUCUUUAUAUACCUUUGACCCAUUAUUUUUCACUCCAAAAACAUACACACACACACACUAGAGGAAAUGAGAGAAGGGUCGAGAGAGACGGAGAGGAAAAGAGAAGGAAAGAAAGAGAGAAAAAUGAAGGGGAAAAGAAGAAGAAGAAGAUGGGUUCAAGCUAAGGGUUCUCAACUUUUUCAAUUUCUCUUUUGAUUUAGAAGGGAAAAUACUCAAGGCUCCUCUAUGAAAGGAUAUGAUUUAUUGUAGAGAAAGCGUGAUAACAUUCUUGGUAUCGAAAGUGAGGAGGCGACAAGAAGAUCGAAACAAUGAUCAACUAUGACUUGUGUCUAACCAGAUUAUCAGAGGUCUUUGGGACCCACUCUCGUACACACAUAGGAUUUGGGCCAUGUACUAGGGUGAUUAGCCUUUGGGGCAAUUCUGCGUACGCAUGACCAGAUUAUCAGAAUAUCAGAUUUGAAUGGCUUUGCUUUGUACAUCGAGAUUACUUUGUAUAUAGUAGCCGAAUUGAGCAGCUUUGGAACUUGUUGAACCACAAAAUUGAGUCACUCGUCAUAAGUUGUAUGACAUCAUUUAUCAGAUUAUACAUUAUGUGUUCAUUUGAGAUACAUGUAGCUUAAAUCAGAAAUGUUCAUUAUGGGCUCAUUAGAUAGUUGGUAUCUUUAGUAUAUUUGAGAAUUGUUGAGUGUAAAGUAAGUAAAUGUCGAUUUACCAACAUUUUAUUUGAAGAGUUUGUAUUUUGAGGGAUUGUCUUACCCUAUUCAUAUCAUAGGUAUUGAGUUGAGGAAAAUUGGUUAUUGUUCAGGUGGUUUUAGUUUAUAUUUCAGGGGAAACUCCGUCAAAAUUUCGUAAAAAAUAUUUUCCAGUCAAAUAAGCUAAGGUUGCAUUGGUGGUGAGUCCAGCAUUCAGCUGGUAACUAUCAUCGGCGCACGACACAUGUCGAGUCCAAUAAGGUGAUUCGGGACGGGUCAUGUCAAUAAUUGUUGAUGAAUCUUUAUUUUUUAAG